AACGAACGCUGGCGGCAGGCCUAACACAUGCAAGUCGAACGCUGUAGCAAUACAGAGUGGCUGACGGGUGAGUAACGCGUGGGAACCUUCCCAAUGGUGCGGAAUAGCCCAGGGAAACUUGGGGUAAUACCGCAUAAGCCCUUAGGGGGAAAGAUUUAUCGCCAUUGGAUGGGCCCGCGUCGGAUUAGCUAGUUGGUGAGGUAAUGGCUCACCAAGGCAACGAUCCGUAGCUGGUUUGAGAGAAUGACCAGCCACACUGGGACUGAAACACGGCCCACACUCCUACGGGAGGGAGCAGUGGGGAAUCUUGGACAAUGGGCGCAAGCCUGAUCCAUCCAUGCCGCGUGAGUGACCAAGGCCUUACGGUUGUAAAGCUCUUUUGCCGGGCACCAUAAUGACGGUACCCGGAGAAUAAGUCCCGGCUAACUUCUUGCCAGCAGCCGCGGUAAUACGAAGGGGACUAACGAUGUUCGGAAUUACUGGGCGUCAAGCGCACGUAUGCGGAUUUGUUAGUCAGGGGUGAAAUCCCGGGGCUCAACCUCGGAACUGCCUUUGAUACUGCAAAUCUCGAGUCCGAUAGAGGUGGGUGGAAUUCCUAGUGUAGAGGUGAAAUUCGUAGAUAUUAUGAAGAACACCGGUGGCGAAUGCCGCCCACUGGAUCGGUACUGACGCUGAGGUGCGAAAGCGCGAUGAGCAAACAAGAUUAGAUACCCUGCUAGUCCACGCCGUGUACGAUGGAUGCUAGCCGUCCGCGAGCUUGCUUCGUUGUGCGCAGCUCACGCAUUAUGCAUCCCGCCUGUGAGUACGGCACACGU
This 815-nucleotide ribosomal RNA is filed under the name uncultured bacterium. Its description in RNAcentral is "bacterial SSU rRNA". It matches the Rfam family "Bacterial small subunit ribosomal RNA", at positions 28 to 893 of the family's 1533-position model. The record is from RNAcentral.